This 1545-nucleotide ribosomal RNA is filed under the name Vibrio sp. CJ11052. RNAcentral describes it as "bacterial SSU rRNA". It matches the Rfam family "Bacterial small subunit ribosomal RNA". The record is from RNAcentral. Lineage: Bacteria; Pseudomonadati; Pseudomonadota; Gammaproteobacteria; Vibrionales; Vibrionaceae.
AGAGUUUGAUCAUGGCUCAGAUUGAACGCUGGCGGCAGGCCUAACACAUGCAAGUCGAGCGGAAACGAGUUAUCUGAACCUUCGGGGAACGAUAACGGCGUCGAGCGGCGGACGGGUGAGUAAUGCCUAGGAAAUUGCCCUGAUGUGGGGGAUAACCAUUGGAAACGAUGGCUAAUACCGCAUGAUGCCUACGGGCCAAAGAGGGGGACCUUCGGGCCUCUCGCGUCAGGAUAUGCCUAGGUGGGAUUAGCUAGUUGGUGAGGUAAGGGCUCACCAAGGCGACGAUCCCUAGCUGGUCUGAGAGGAUGAUCAGCCACACUGGAACUGAGACACGGUCCAGACUCCUACGGGAGGCAGCAGUGGGGAAUAUUGCACAAUGGGCGCAAGCCUGAUGCAGCCAUGCCGCGUGUGUGAAGAAGGCCUUCGGGUUGUAAAGCACUUUCAGUCGUGAGGAAGGUGGUGUNGUUAAUAGCUGCAUUAUUUGACGUUAGCGACAGAAGAAGCACCGGCUAACUCCGUGCCAGCAGCCGCGGUAAUACGGAGGGUGCGAGCGUUAAUCGGAAUUACUGGGCGUAAAGCGCAUGCAGGUGGUUUGUUAAGUCAGAUGUGAAAGCCCGGGGCUCAACCUCGGAAUAGCAUUUGAAACUGGCAGACUAGAGUACUGUAGAGGGGGGUAGAAUUUCAGGUGUAGCGGUGAAAUGCGUAGAGAUCUGAAGGAAUACCGGUGGCGAAGGCGGCCCCCUGGACAGAUACUGACACUCAGAUGCGAAAGCGUGGGGAGCAAACAGGAUUAGAUACCCUGGUAGUCCACGCCGUAAACGAUGUCUACUUGGAGGUUGUGGCCUUGAGCCGUGGCUUUCGGAGCUAACGCGUUAAGUAGACCGCCUGGGGAGUACGGUCGCAAGAUUAAAACUCAAAUGAAUUGACGGGGGCCCGCACAAGCGGUGGAGCAUGUGGUUUAAUUCGAUGCAACGCGAAGAACCUUACCUACUCUUGACAUCCAGAGAACUUUCCAGAGAUGGAUUGGUGCCUUCGGGAACUCUGAGACAGGUGCUGCAUGGCUGUCGUCAGCUCGUGUUGUGAAAUGUUGGGUUAAGUCCCGCAACGAGCGCAACCCUUAUCCUUGUUUGCCAGCGAGUAAUGUCGGGAACUCCAGGGAGACUGCCGGUGAUAAACCGGAGGAAGGUGGGGACGACGUCAAGUCAUCAUGGCCCUUACGAGUAGGGCUACACACGUGCUACAAUGGCGCAUACAGAGGGCGGCCAACUUGCGAAAGUGAGCGAAUCCCAAAAAGUGCGUCGUAGUCCGGAUUGGAGUCUGCAACUCGACUCCAUGAAGUCGGAAUCGCUAGUAAUCGUGGAUCAGAAUGCCACGGUGAAUACGUUCCCGGGCCUUGUACACACCGCCCGUCACACCAUGGGAGUGGGCUGCAAAAGAAGUAGGUAGUUUAACCUUCGGGGGGACGCUUACCACUUUGUGGUUCAUGACUGGGGUGAAGUCGUAACAAGGUAGCGCUAGGGGAACCUGCGGCUGGAUCACCUCCUU